Molecule: ribosomal RNA, 977 nt
Filed under: uncultured Thelephoraceae
Lineage: Eukaryota; Fungi; Basidiomycota; Agaricomycetes; Thelephorales; Thelephoraceae
Description: eukaryotic LSU rRNA
Rfam family: Eukaryotic large subunit ribosomal RNA (bases 320-977)
Source: RNAcentral
UAGUAAUGUGAAUUGCAGAAUUCAGUGAAUCAUCGAAUCUUUGAACGCACCUUGCGCCCUUUGGAUAUUCCGAAGGGCAUGCCUGUUUGAGUAUCAUGAACACCUCAACUCUCACGGUUUCUCGUGAUGAGCUUGGACUUGGGGGUUUGUCGGCCUGUGGUCGGCUCUCCUCAAAUGAAUUAGCUUGCCGGUGUCUGGCGGCAUCAUGGGUGUGAUAACCAUCUACGCUUGUGAUCGCCUGCGAGGUAAACCUCUGGUCUGCAGAGGUUCGCCGGAGCUUAUAGACGUCUCUCCUCAGCGAAGACAGCUGUCUGAAGUUCGAUCUCAAAUCAGGUAGGACUACCCGCUGAACUUAAGCAUAUCAAUAAGCGGAGGAAAAGAAACUAACAAGGAUUCCCCUAGUAACUGCGAGUGAAGCGGGAAGAGCUCAAAUUUAAAAUCUGGCGUGCCUCUGGUCGUCCGAGUUGUAGUCUGGAGAAGCGUUUUCCGUGUUGGACCGUGUAUAAGUCUCUUGGAACAGGGCGUCAUAGAGGGUGAGAAUCCCGUCUUUGACACGGACUGCCAAUGCUUUGUGAUGCGCUCUCAAAGAGUCGAGUUGUUUGGGAAUGCAGCUCAAAAUGGGUGGUAAAUUCCAUCUAAAGCUAAAUAUAGGCGAGAGACCGAUAGCGAACAAGUACCGUGAGGGAAAGAUGAAAAGCACUUUGGAAAGAGAGUUAAACAGUACGUGAAAUUGCUGAAAGGGAAACGCUUGAAGUCAGUCGUGUCUGCCAGGACUCAGCCUUGCUUCUGCUUGGUGUACUUUCUGGUUGGAUGGGCCAACAUCAAUUUUGACCGUCGGAGAAAGGUUUUGGGAACGUGGCACCUUCGGGUGUGUUAUAGCCCAUUGUCAUAUACGGCGGUUGGGAUUGAGGACUGCAGCACGCCGUUAUUGGGUAGGGGCAUCUCGCCCACGUUCGUGCGUAGGAUGUUGGCGUCAU